Molecule: ribosomal RNA, 253 nt
Filed under: uncultured bacterium
Lineage: Bacteria
Description: partial 16S ribosomal RNA
Rfam family: Bacterial small subunit ribosomal RNA
Source: RNAcentral
UACGAAGGGUGCGAGCGUUGUCCGGAUUUAUUGGGUUUAAAGGGUGCGUAGGCGGCGCGUUAAGUCCGGGGUGAAAGCCCGUUGCUCAACAACGGAACUGCCCCGGAAACUGGCGCGCUUGAGUCCAGACGAGGUUGGCGGAAUGGAAGCUGUAGCGGUGAAAUGCAUAGAUAGCUUCCAGAACCCCGAUUGCGAAGGCAGCUGACUAGGCUGGUACUGACGCUGAGGCACGAAAGCGUGGGGAGCGAACAGG